CAAUCAUCUGCCGUAAAGUCAUGGAAUUGCACCAUCAGAAGCAUCAUCAACAUAUGUGUACAACUUGAAUGCUGCCAAGGCGCAGUUUGCUGAAGCACAGCAAAGCUGAUGUGACUACGACCAUCCCAUGUUGAAGCUAUCUGGGAUGCCGCCAGCUGGAAGGAUAUCUUUAAUCACCUCGUUGCCGCUGCUAAGAGACGUUUGUAUCAUCCAAGCUUUAAUUGACCUAGAGAAGCCUGUUCGAAUUUGUGGGACGAAUGUUGGGCAAAGCAAAGCUGAUGAGUGAUAGUUUUAAAUAAAUAAUUUAACUACAACAUAUUCCGCGUUUGUGAUAAUCAACGAAAAGAUGCGAAAUUUGAGCAUUCAGUUACUAUUGAGGAAAUAUUAUAGAAAAUUAACCCAUGUUGGUUCUUGCUUACUUUGUGAUAUGUAAUGCACACGAUUCGUGAAUUCUUCGUACAUUACAUAUCACAAAGCUAAAAGGCCGCUUGUUUAGGCCGCACCCUAAUAUUAAAUAUAAAUUUUUAGCCACCCUAAUGGGAACUGCGCCUAGCGUUCCGACUGUUGCUAACCACCGUUUCCAGUCGCUGCAACGUGAAGGCCGUUAACCCUGGCAUUUCCCCGCCGAACAGUUAAAACGUUUACCGUGUUAAACGUUGUUCGGCGAGGUUACUUUCACUUUAACUUUAACUAAAACUUUCACUUCGAUUGUACAAUCAGGAGAAAAAGGACGUGUCAGCCAGCCAACAGGUAAUAUGUCAUAAACUAUUAAUUAUACAUAAUCUAAUAAUACAUAUAUGUACAAUAAUACGUAGGCAACGUAUUGCAUAUACGUAUAUUUCUAUGCACAUAACCAUAUAUGUAUAUUUCUAUGCACAUAACCAUAUGUAUAUCUAUAUAUAUAUACUGCAAUAAACAUUGACGAAUAUAUACUGACACUGUGUCUUUCAAUUUUAUAAAAUAUUUCAUCGGAGCGACCGUGGAGGCCCACAUUUCAAACCGCCCACUGCGUCGCAUCCGGCGAAUACAUGGUCCUUCGAGCCGGAUGAAAUAAAAGAUCCAUUUUAAACAGAUCACCAGCAAGCAAGCCAGAGCACCAGCAAGCAAAAAAAAAAAAAAAAGCCACCAAGCAAGCUGAGAUUAGCAAAGCACCAAGCCAUCCGCAAUAAACGCAAGCCAUCAGCAAUUUUAACACCAACAAUCCGUUCCAGAAAAAACAGGUACGUGGAUUUCUUGCACACUCUUUUUUUUGGUGGAAAUAAGAUAAUUACAAAAAAAAUCAAAAAGGGUCAACGACUCCGUCUGUCCGCAAACAGACAAUACAAGUGCGCGCGGUAUUUUCAAGUAAAUCAACCCUCUAACAGCGCGUUGUUGGGAAUUUUUCAAUUUUUUUCUUAUUCCGUUCCUUUUACUUGUACAUUCCCGCUGUGAAGUUGAGUACACAACUACACAAACAACGCCGCAGUAAAUUGAAAUCGAUCCCAGCGCACUUUUUGCACAGGUGUAUACAUACCGCUAAUUAUUGUG
Molecule: long non-coding RNA, 1527 nt
Organism: Anastrepha ludens (Mexican fruit fly)
Lineage: Eukaryota; Metazoa; Arthropoda; Insecta; Diptera; Tephritidae
Exons: 3
Source: RefSeq, a predicted model, not a curated record